This 309-nucleotide unclassified non-coding RNA is filed under the name soil metagenome. RNAcentral's name for it is "partial contains small subunit ribosomal RNA, internal transcribed spacer 1, and 5.8S ribosomal RNA". The record is from RNAcentral.
UUUCCGUAGGUGAACCUGCGGAAGGAUCAUUAACACGUAUCCACGUAUCAAACCAACCGUUGAACAUUCUGUUAUCGUGUGAGAAGGAACGAGAGUGCUAGGUGGUGAGGGAGAUAAGAGUUGGAAACAACUUGAAAUCCCCGUCUCUCGCUUCCGCGAUGACGUUCGCGUCAUCAUAUUCCUCGAUAAUGGUCACCACGUUAUUUUUAACCACUAUGAACACUUGUCUUACUUGUUGUAUCCUCUUUGUGAGCAUACAAGGUUUACGAAAUGUUUGAACAACUCUUAGCAACGGAUAUCUUGGUUUCC